AACGAACGCUGGCGGCAGGCCUAACACAUGCAAGUCGAGCGAAGACGUCCGUCCUUUGGGCGGACGGGGGGUGAACGCCUGGGGACGAGCCCUUUGCUACCGUAUCCCUCUCGGAAGCUGGGCGUAAUACCGGUUGGGCCCUUAGCGGGAAAGAUUUCCUGGCGCAGGAUCGGCCCGCGUAGGUUUAGGUAGUUGGUGGGGUAAUGGCCUACCAAGCCGAGGAUCCAUAGCUGGUUGGUGAGGAUGCGCGGCCACACUGGGACUGAGACACGGCCCAGACUCAGACGGGAGGCGGCAGUGGGGAGUCUUAGGCAAUGGGGGAAACACUGAUCUAGCCAUGCCGCGUGAGCGAUGAAGGCCUUAGGGUUGUAAAGCUCUUUCAGCUGGGAAGAUAAUGACGGUACCAGCAGAAGAAGCCCCGGCUAACUCCGUG
Molecule: ribosomal RNA, 433 nt
Filed under: uncultured bacterium
Lineage: Bacteria
Description: partial 16S ribosomal RNA
Rfam family: Bacterial small subunit ribosomal RNA
Source: RNAcentral